Molecule: non-coding RNA, 125 nt
Organism: Brassica napus (rape)
Lineage: Eukaryota; Viridiplantae; Streptophyta; Magnoliopsida; Brassicales; Brassicaceae
Source: Rfam
GGAAGUUAAGAAACUGUUUCUUAACUUUUAACUAAAAAAACUAAGGACCGGUUCUUAAAAUCUUUAUUUAAGAACUGAUUCUUAACUUUUUUAGUUAAAAGUUAAGAAACAGUUUCUUAGAUUCC